GACGAACGCUGGCGGCGUGCUUAACACAUGCAAGUCGAACGAAGAGCGAUGGAAGCUUGCUUCUAUCAAUCUUAGUGGCGAACGGGUGAGUAACGCGUAAUCAACCUGCCCUUCAGAGGGGGACAACAGUUGGAAACGACUGCUAAUACCGCAUACGAUCUAAUCUCGGCAUCGAGGAUAGAUGAAAGGUGGCCUCUACAUGUAAGCUAUCACUGAAGGAGGGGAUUGCGUCUGAUUAGCUAGUUGGAGGGGUAACGGCCCACCAAGGCGAUGAUCAGUAGCCGGUCUGAGAGGAUGAACGGCCACAUUGGGACUGAGACACGGCCCAGACUCCUACGGGAGGCAGCAGUGGGGAAUCUUCCGCAAUGGACGAAAGUCUGACGGAGCAACGCCGCGUGAGUGGUGACGGCCUUCGGGUUGUAAAGCUCUGUUAAUCGGGACGAAAGGCCUUCUUGCGAAUAGUGAGAAGGAUUGACGGUACCGGAAGAGAAAGCCACGGCUAACUACGUG
This 510-nucleotide ribosomal RNA is filed under the name uncultured bacterium. RNAcentral's name for it is "partial 16S ribosomal RNA". It matches the Rfam family "Bacterial small subunit ribosomal RNA", at positions 28 to 507 of the family's 1533-position model. The record is from RNAcentral.